GACGAACGCUGGCGGCGUGCCUAAUACAUGCAAGUCGAACGCUUCUUUCCUCCCGAGUGCUUGCACUCAAUUGGAAAGAGGAGUGGCGGACGGGUGAGUAACACGUGGGUAACCUACCCAUCAGAGGGGGAUAACACUUGGAAACAGGUGCUAAUACCGCAUAACAGUUUAUGCCGCAUGGCAUAAGAGUGAAAGGCGCUUUCGGGUGUCGCUGAUGGAUGGACCCGCGGUGCAUUAGCUAGUUGGUGAGGUAACGGCUCACCAAGGCCACGAUGCAUAGCCGACCUGAGAGGGUGAUCGGCCACACUGGGACUGAGACACGGCCCAGACUCCUACGGGAGGCAGCAGUAGGGAAUCUUCGGCAAUGGACGAAAGUCUGACCGAGCAACGCCGCGUGAGUGAAGAAGGUUUUUC
Molecule: ribosomal RNA, 414 nt
Filed under: Enterococcus faecalis
Lineage: Bacteria; Bacillati; Bacillota; Bacilli; Lactobacillales; Enterococcaceae
Description: bacterial SSU rRNA
Rfam family: Bacterial small subunit ribosomal RNA
Source: RNAcentral